UGCAGCUCAUUGGCCGAGUUGUCGUCACGGGGAAGGCAGAGCACAUGGAGUGGAGAAACUACCCUUGGCACAUUCGCAGAUUAUUUGUUUACCACUUAGAACACAGGAUGUCAGCACCAUCUUGUAAAGGCAAAUGUGAGGGCGGCUCCCCACAUCUCCCCCUUUCCUUUUAAUAAGAGCAAUAGGCCACCCAUAUUAAUGAGAGUGGAGAUAGAGGUCAAAUCCCCAGUGUGCAGGUAAAGGAGCUGUACACAAAACCUCCUUCCAGGCUCAUCACCCAGAGGGGUCCUGGUCUGGUCCUGUGUCGUUUUUCCUGGGGAGAAGGACACUUGGACACUCAACCUUCUUGAAAGAUGACAUGUCUCCCUAGAAUAGGCUCAUAUGUGCCGCAGAGCCCUUCUACUGCAGUGCUUAGCCGUGCAACUCUCUCGGGCUGCUGAAGCACACUCACUCUAUCCCGUGCAAUGAGACUAGCCUCGUGGGGUGCAAGAGCUGAAUGGCCAGCGACCUAUUGUUUAAGCAUAGAUAACUAUAUAUCAGGGGAAGCACCAUGUUCUAGUGCUGCAAGCGCCUGGGCAAUAACCACCUUAUCUCUCCUAGUUUGGGCCUUAAGCUUACAGACCAACCAGAGAAGCAACACUAAUCCACAGCAAAUUGUAUCUCCAAAUAAUAUCAAUCCCACCCAUUCUUUAAAGAAGGAAAAUGCUGAGGAGAUCCAAUUGGGUAAUCCUUUGGUCAGGGACAGGUCCAAGCGCGUGGAGUUGACCUGAAUGAUGGCAAGUCUCAAUUCCCGAAGGGUCUGUUCAAAUUCAGCCGUCCAAAUCUGUAACAUAUACUGAGAAAGACUUUUUGACAAAUUAGCUGCCCUAGUAAAUUUCUCAUACUGAAUGGAAAUAACGCACAAUCCCGGAAACUUUUGUUCACAUCCCAGCUGAGCUAUUUGCCAUAAUACAUCUAGUUGUUCCUGGACAAGAUUUAUGAGUUGAUUAACCAGCAUGAGACCUCCCUGUAUCUUGACAUUAGCUGAGGCCUGUUUAUCUAUGACUGUGGUCACCGAGGCUGACAAUGUGUUAAUGGUGUCAGUCGUCUGGACCUGUCCAGACAGAGCCAAGGCUGUCUGAACAAGGCCAAACCCAGUUCCUUGUUAGUGGUAAAAAAGGCAGGGGAAUACUUGAGCAUUAUACAUCACCGGCAUUGGGAGUGGAAAUGUCGACAUUAUCCCCCAACGCUGCUCUCUCUUUGUUAUUGUCGCCCUGGACAUCACCAAGAUGAGGGACAUCAGUAUUCCCUUGGUCAGUCUGGAUUUUUCGGGUGUGUCUUUCUGGUAUCCAAAAUGGGUUGUCUUCAUUCUGUGGAAAAACACAAACAGCUCCCCUGGAUAUUAUCAAAAUAGGAUCCGGUCCUUUCCAUUUGUUACAUAAAACAUCUUUCCAUUUAACCAUCUCAUUGGGCCUAUCUGGCUCUGAACAAUGACGUUCAGCCGCAGUAUGGCCAUGAGCAUCAAGAUUUAAAAAAUUGAGUGUAAAGAGUGCCAUAGACACAGACACUCUUGGUACUCGGGGUAGAGCCUCGACUCCCCUUUUCUGUUUUAAUAGGAUUUGAGGGUGCGAUGCACAUGCUCAACAAUACCCUGUCCUUGAGGGUUGUAUGGAAGUCCAGUCAGGUGGGUCAUGUCUAUCUGACGGCAGAACUGCUGGAAUUUUUGAGAUGCAUAAGCUGGUCCAUUAUCAGUCUUAAGGAGUUUGGGUUUCCCCCAAGCACUUCAUGCCUCAAGGCAAUGUUGAAUCACAUGUGAGGCUUUUUUCUCCGGUUAAAGGAGAGGCAAACAUGAUGCCAGAGCAGGUGUCAAUAGAGACAUGUAAAUAUUGAUUUCUCCCAAAGGAGGAAAUAUGCGUGACAUCCAUUUGCCAGACCUGUAAUGGCCUGACGCCACGGGGGUUUACCCCUACAUGAGGAGUAGAUAAAAUUUGACAACAAUCUAAAGGCAUUACUAAGUAAUCAGAAUCAUUUCCAGUAGAACCAAUCCCUCUGGCAGCUCGAGGAAUACCAGAGGAAGGAAAACAGCUAUGUAGGCUUGGCAAAAUUAUUAGUUGAGCUAUUCUGUCUCCUUGUGAUAUAGAAAAGACAACUUGAGGACAAGAACAGAGAACCUGAAGUUCCCCUUUAUAAUCCUGAUCUACAACUCUAGGGUGGACAAUAAGACCUUGUAGGCUGCAAGAGCCUGCCUCUGUCUCCCAAGUGCUGGGAUUAACGGCAUGCGCCACCACUGCUCGGCUUCUUCAAAGACCGGAAAUGCCUGUUGCAUUUUCCUUUGUUCCUCUCUGGGAAUGAACGAGUCUGCACAUUGCCUCUCUGUCCAUUGCCUCUCUGCGCAGGGCUGACGCAUUACGCAGGACGGGGCCUCCGCAUAGGGCGGAGGUGCACUAUGACCUUGAAGCCAACUGCCCGGAGGCCAAGCAGCACGCUGGCCUUCGCCAGCAGCUUUUGGCUUUUUCCUUAACUGAUUAGCUAGCAUUUUAUCUGGCUGGUACCCUUUUCUCUCAUAAUGAGCUGCUUCUUCCUCCAAGUCUGUUUCCUCAGAGGAGAAUUCUUCAUCUGAUUCAGAGCUACUAAGAGCUGGCUCCUUGAGCUCAUCUAGUGAUGGGUAUAGGCUCCUUCUCCUAGAAACCUCCGCUGAUUGAUCUUUUUUCUUUUCUUUUUCCUUCUCCUUCCUUCCAAUCUCUCCCCAGGUAUUCUUCCCUGACCUAAACUUUUCCUCGGGUUCAAGACCCUUGGAAAGGCCUGUAUACUUAUUUUGUGCACCAUAUUUCCUCUUUGCUCCUACUCUCUCUCCCCGCUUUACUUCUGAUAGAUUGCCCUGAAUUUCAUCCAGAAUUUUCAGCCCUGCCUUAACUGCUUGAUAACAUGUGAAAAGGAACAAAACAAAAAGGCUCCUAACACUGGAGAAAGUUCAAGGCCAAACAUACCUUGUAAAGCUAUUCCCCGCUUUACUUCUGAUAGACUGUCUUGAAUUUCGUUAGAAAGUUCAAGGCCAGACAUACCUUGUAAAGCCUGUUUCCCACUUUACUUCUGAUAGACUGUCUUGAAUUUCAUUAGAAAGUUCAAGACCAGACCUACCUUGUAAAGCUAUUUCCCACUUUACUUCUGAUAGACUGUCUUGAAUUUCGUUAGAAAGUUCAAGACCAGACCUACCUUGUAAAGCUAUACUUACGGGUACCCCUGUUCCCCAGCUGAAGAGUUCUGAAUCCACGCAGUUGAAUCCUUCUCAACAGUCUGUUUUACGGGAACACUUCAUUACCACCGUUCCCCAGCUGAAGAGUUCUGAAUCCACGCCGGAUCCUUCUCAACAGUCUGUUUUACGGGAACCUUUAUGACCGUGACCCGCAGUUCUGGUUCCGGAAUGAGGGAUCUUCCUUGUGCCGGUGAUGGUAAUUCCCGUCCCGGGUUUUCUCGUCCCAGGUUCCAGCACCAAUUCUUACACGCAUUCCCGACCGGCCAGGAAGAACGAAACAAACCGGAAUCUUCUGCGGCAAAAGCUUUAUUGCUUACAUCUUCAGGAGCAAGAGAGAGAAUGGCGAAACCCUGUCCCUUUUAAGGAGAAUUAUCCUCCGCCUAGGACGUGUCGAUCCCUGAUUGGCUGCAGCCCAUUGGCCAAGUUGUCGUCACGGGGAAGGCAGAGCACAUGGAGUGGAGAAUUACCCUUGGCACAUUCGCAGAUUAUUUGUUUACGACUUAGAACACAGGAUGUCAGCGCCAUCUUGUAAAGGCGAAUGUGAGGGCGGCUCCACACUGAGGAUGCAGAAUUGC
RNAcentral lists this long non-coding RNA (3807 nucleotides) under Mus musculus (house mouse). Its description in RNAcentral is "long non-coding RNA chr8:100988756-100992563". Lineage: Eukaryota; Metazoa; Chordata; Mammalia; Rodentia; Muridae. The record is from RNAcentral.